CGAGAUUCCCCCAGUAGCGGCGAGCGAACGGGGAGCAGCCCAGAGCCUGAAUCAGUGUGUGUGUUAGUGGAAGCGUCUGGAAAGGCGUGCGAUACAGGGUGACAGCCCCGUACACAAAAAUGCACAUGCUGUGAGCUCGAUGAGUAGGGCGGGACACGUGGUAUCCUGUCUGAAUAUGGGGGGACCAUCCUCCAAGGCGAAAUACUCCUGACUGA
This 215-nucleotide ribosomal RNA is filed under the name Escherichia coli. Its description in RNAcentral is "partial 23S ribosomal RNA". It matches the Rfam family "Bacterial large subunit ribosomal RNA", at positions 230 to 483 of the family's 2925-position model. The record is from RNAcentral. Lineage: Bacteria; Pseudomonadati; Pseudomonadota; Gammaproteobacteria; Enterobacterales; Enterobacteriaceae.